This 912-nucleotide ribosomal RNA is filed under the name uncultured Bacillota bacterium. Its description in RNAcentral is "bacterial SSU rRNA". It matches the Rfam family "Bacterial small subunit ribosomal RNA", at positions 1 to 917 of the family's 1533-position model. Lineage: Bacteria; Bacillati; Bacillota. The record is from RNAcentral.
UGACUUUGAUCAUGGCUCAGGACGAACGCUGGCGGCGCGCCUAACACAUGCAAGUCGAACGGAGAUAUUUUGUUUGAAGUUUUCGGAUGGAAAACAGCUUAUCUUAGUGGCGAACGGGUGAGUAACACGUGAGUAACCUGCCUUUCAGAGGGGGACAACAUUUGGAAACGAAUGCUAAUACCGCAUAAGACCACGGUCUCGCAUGGGACAGGGGUCAAAGGAGCAAUCCGCUGAAAGAUGGACUCGCGUCCGAUUAGGUAGUUGGUGAGGUAACGGCCCACCAAGCCGACGAUCGGUAGCCGGACUGAGAGGUUGAACGGCCACAUUGGGACUGAGACACGGCCCAGACUCCUACGGGAGGCAGCAGUGGGGAAUAUUGCACAAUGGGGGAAACCCUGAUGCAGCGACGCCGCGUGGAGGAAGAAGGCCCUCGGGUUGUAAACUCCUGUCCUUGGGGACGAUAAUGACGGUACCCAAGGAGGAAGCACCGGCUAACUACGUGCCAGCAGCCGCGGUAAAACGUAGGGUGCAAGCGUUGUCCGGAAUUACUGGGUGUAAAGGGAGCGCAGGCGGAUCGACAAGUUGGAAGUGAAACGCACGGGCUCAAUCCGUGACCUGCUUUCAAAACUGCCGGUCUUGAGUGGUGUAGAGGUAGGCGGAAUUCCCGGUGUAGCGGUGGAAUGCGUAGAUAUCGGGAGGAACACCAGUGGCGAAGGCGGCCUACUGGGCACUAACUGACGCUGAGGCUCGAAAUCAUGGGUAGCAAACAGGAUUAGAUACCCUGGUAGUCCAUGCCGUAAACGAUGAUUACUAGGUGUGGGGGGAUAGACCCCCUCCGUGCCGCAGUUAACACAAUAAGUAAUCCACCUGGGGAGUACGACCGCAAGGUUGCAACUCAAAGGAAUUGACGGA